AGAUUAAUACAAGAUGUUAUCAUGAGUAAGCAUUUUCGCAUGAUUAAAGGUUUACCGGUGUAAGAUGGGGAUGCGUUCCAUUAGAUAGUAGGCGGGGUAACGGCCCACCUAGUCUUCGAUGGAUAGGGGUUCUGAGAGGAAGGUCCCCCACAUUGGAACUGAGACACGGUCCAAACUCCUACGGGAGGCAGCAGUGAGGAAUAUUGGUCAAUGGACGAGAGUCUGAACCAGCCAAGUAGCGUGAAGGAUGAAGGUUCUAUGGAUUGUAAACUUCUUUUAUACGGGAAUAAACGGAUCCACGUGUGGAUUUUUGCAUGUACCGUAUGAAUAAGGAUCGGCUAACUCCGUGCCAGCAGCCGCGGUAAUACGGAGGAUCCGAGCGUUAUCCGGAUUUAUUGGGUUUAAAGGGAGCGUAGAUGGGUUGUUAAGUCAGUUGUGAAAGUUUGCGGCUCAACCGUAAAAUUGCAAUUGAUACUGGCAGUCUUGAGUACAGUUGAGGUAGGCGGAAUUCGUGGUGUAGCGGUGAAAUGCUUAGAUAUCACGAAGAACUCCGAUUGCGAAGGCAGCUUACUAACCUGUAACUGACAUUGAUGCUCGAAAGUGUGGGUAUCAAACAGGAUUAGAUACCCUGGUAGUCCACACGGUAAACGAUGAAUACUCGCUGUAGGCGAAUACAGUCUGCGGCCAAGCGAAAGCAUUAAGU
This 703-nucleotide ribosomal RNA is filed under the name uncultured bacterium. Its description in RNAcentral is "bacterial SSU rRNA". It matches the Rfam family "Bacterial small subunit ribosomal RNA", at positions 160 to 865 of the family's 1533-position model. The record is from RNAcentral.